Molecule: long non-coding RNA, 1010 nt
Filed under: Oryza brachyantha (malo sina)
Lineage: Eukaryota; Viridiplantae; Streptophyta; Magnoliopsida; Poales; Poaceae
Description: long non-coding RNA (OBRA_LNC003122)
Source: RNAcentral
GUUCUAUUUAAAGAUAUUGCCUAAAACAAACUCUAAUAUUUACAUAUAUUGCUUUAUGCAGAUUCUAUCUGGUUCCUGAAUCUAUCUGCACCGUUCCUAGGCCCAAUCAGACUCUUCUCACUGUCCGAGUCGACUUCCAUCGGCUCCAUCCGAGUCGCUUUCCAAUUGCUUAAUCCGAUUGCCUUGCUUCCUGUUCGAGUCGGUUGUUUCUGCUGCUUUUCUCUCCAACGGCUAUUACCAAAUUCUGGCAUUAACAGCUUGCCAGCAUGUUCAUUGUUUGUUUAGAAUUGAAAUAUAUUUUUCGAAUUAGUUGAAUUUUCGGUCCUAACCGAUCUCCACUUAUCCCACUGGCCUCAUCUUUUCUCUCCUCGUUAUGCUUAUAAGUCAAAUUUAAAUUUUUAGUCAUAAAUUUAGAGUUAAUUUUAAAAUUAUUUUUUAACAUAGUUUUUUCGGUCUGUCUUUUCAAAUUUCAAGGAACAUAAGUUUUAUUUAAAAAUUGUUUUCAAUUGCAGACAUAUCGUUAACCUCUGUUUUCACGAAAAAGACAAACAAUGAGUCUCAUACAGGCUAACAUAAACGUGAUAUAAAAAUACUUACAUGCAAAUAUUAUAAUUUUAUUAAAAGUAGCUCUUUGUUGCUCAACCAAUUGAACAAUUCUCAUGAAGUAUAAUAUGACCAAGGUUGAGAGUGCCAUCUGAGAUUUGACCACUAGUAAGCAAGUCUUGUCUAUAGAUUAAUUAACCUUGACCACCGAGUGCUUUGCGAUGACAACUUUGACUUCUUGAUUUGGGAACUGAAAUUAAAAACAUAUCCAAAAUUUGUGUUUUGGAUAGCUAACUAUCCAUGAAAAUGCCGUUGAGAGUUGAAGUACGCUAGAUAUGAUUUUCAAUCAUGUCAAUAUUUGUCUUUCUCCAAAGUCUCAAAAACUAGCUUAUAUGAAAUUGUUGCCAAUUAUCUAUUCAUUUAUAUGGUUAUACACCAAAUCAGCUCUGCUUUUAUAUCCUAAACUU